GCUCCAUGGACUCCUUAGAGGCAUGGUUGGGGCUGAUCUACAGUGAUCCUGAGUACCUGCACUUUCAGGAAGCCUUUGACAAAAUCCCUGUUAAAAACUUCAUAGAGGAAGUAGUUACAGACCAGGGGUGCUGUAUUCGAUGGCUGGGAAGCGCAGGGCAGAAGUAGGCUGGCAAUUCUCAGUGUGGCUAAGUGCUAACAAGGAGAAGCUCCCAACACCUUAUCUAGAGCAAGUGUCUGAAGUACGUCACUCUGGAGAGAGGGGAAACCACUGCAGCCACAGAUGUACAAACCUGCCACGGGUUGGUGACUCAAGAGAGGGCAGCGAAGAGCAACAAAGAGGGCUGAGAGAUAGAGUGAGAUGGCUGCUGGCAACACUGCUGAGCUGGUUCAGCUUGGUGAGAGUUCCAAGAAACACUGGUGCUGCAGGGUGGCCAUAAGUGCAUCUGCAGGGUGGGAAUGUAGAGGUGUUGUGAGGAUGAAGGGGAGCAUCACCUCCUGGCAGCAGUGAUCCUGUCAGGGUGCCCCACCAGAGCUCAACCUCCUUGGUGGCCAGGGAGAGGCUGGGUUGAGUGUUCUGGUCACUGAGUGUACUGCUCUAACCUGGAAUUACAAAAAAAACAAAAACAAAAACAAAACCAAAAACAACAACAACAAAAAAAAAAAGCCAAAAAAAACCAAAACCCCAAAACCCCAAAAACCAAAAACAACCAAACCAGAAGGAUUUGGGAGUAUUUUUGUAAACAGGAGCAUCAACACACUGCAUGCUAUACCAUGGCUAUCAGAAAACAAGCAAUGUGCCUCAGACAAUUAAAAAAUGAGCGAGGUGAUAUGAUGCCAUCCGCAUCUGCAAAAUCAUUAUAAAUCUGUCAUGUAAGGUACGCUCAUUGGGAGGUGGGCCAGUCUUUCUAGAGAGGACACAGAAAUCUGGUGAUAAAACAACUGAAGUGAUGGGAGACUUCUUGAUGAAUGGUUGACCAAGAGGGUCUGCUCUUGGACAGGAGGGGAAUAGAAAGGGACAGAGCAUCCUAUGGCACACAAACAAUGCAUAUAACAUCACCUGAGACAAAACUAAAGUGAAACUGAAAGAUAACCAAUUCCAGUAAAAGGUAAAUUCUUUUUCAGCAAUCUAUCAUGUUCAUUGCUACGAGAUAUGAGGAAAGUAAAGAGACUCUUAGGCAUCUAGACAUUUACAUCAAUAAAAGAAUAUGUACUGUUAGUCUGUGUAAGAUA
This 1232-nucleotide long non-coding RNA is filed under the name Junco hyemalis (dark-eyed junco). RNAcentral's name for it is "lncRNA (ENSJHYG00000000610.1)". The record is from RNAcentral. Lineage: Eukaryota; Metazoa; Chordata; Aves; Passeriformes; Passerellidae.